UGGCACAUCCAUUACUGGCUACUCACACAAGGAGGUGGUAGACCUCAUGACCAAUGCUGUCCACCUUGGUCACGUCAAGCUUACUUUACGCCGUAAAAUCUAGGCUUUCUUUCUGAACCAGUGAGCAGAUAGGAGUUCUCACAGUACUCGCUUCACACUGGAUCCAAACACAGCGGUGUAAACCUGAGAACAGGAGGGAGGAAGGUAGAGCCAAAGUCAAGUCGUAUACAGAUAAUAUCCUGAUCAGUGACAGUGAUGCAGUAACGUGUUACUCUAUUCUGACCACUUUUUUCGGUAACAAGUAAUCCAGUGCGCUGCUAUUUCUAAACGAGUAAUCAGAUUAAAGUUACCUAUCAAAGUCACUGUGCGUUACUAUUUUUGUCAUCAAGAACCACAACUUACAACUUACCACAACUUUUGCUAACAGCUGUUUGGGGGCUGAAUAGUGCCCAUUUAUGUUAGCAGCAAGUUACUUUUAUCUAUUGGUUUUAUGAUUGGCUAGUGUACAUCAUUUACUCUGAUCAAAAUGAUACCACCAUUAACGCUACCAUUUACUCAGCAGCACUCUGAUUGAUCAGUUUAAAAGCUGAGGCUUUAUUAUCUUCUCACAUGCUUGUAUCAGUUUUACCAUGUUUACGAUUACGGUAGCGUGUUUGUCUUCAAUAAAAGUUUCUGCUUUAACAAAUGACACUUUCAUGUCCUGAAUAAUAUAGCACACCGUUUAAUACCUUUCUCCUUCUUCCUCUU
Alosa sapidissima (American shad) is the source of this 747-nucleotide long non-coding RNA. RefSeq lists it as uncharacterized. The record is from RefSeq and is a predicted model, not a curated record. The transcript has 3 exons. Lineage: Eukaryota; Metazoa; Chordata; Actinopteri; Clupeiformes; Clupeidae.